This 397-nucleotide ribosomal RNA is filed under the name uncultured bacterium. RNAcentral's name for it is "bacterial SSU rRNA". It matches the Rfam family "Bacterial small subunit ribosomal RNA", at positions 28 to 407 of the family's 1533-position model. The record is from RNAcentral.
GAUGAACGCUAGCUACAGGCUUUAACACAUGCAAGUCGAACGGAACUGCUUUGAAAGAGGAUUCGUCCAAUUGAUAAGUAUGUUUAGUGGCGGACGGGUGAGUAACGCGUGAGUAACCUGCCUUGGAGUGGGGAAUAACACAGUGAAAUUGUGCUAAUACCGCAUAAUGCAGUUGGGUCGCAUGGCUCUGACUGCCAAAGAUUUAUCGCUCUGAGAUGGACUCGCGUCUGAUUAGAUAGUUGGCGGGGUAACGGCCACCAAGUCGACGAUCAGUAGCCGGACUGAGAGGUUGGCCGGCCACAUUGGGACUGAGACACGGCCCAGACUCCUACGGGAGGCAGCAGUGGGGAAUAUUGGGCAAUGGGCGCAAGCCUGACCCAGCAACGCCGCGUGAAGG